This 1460-nucleotide long non-coding RNA is filed under the name Oryza brachyantha (malo sina). Its description in RNAcentral is "long non-coding RNA (OBRA_LNC001915)". The record is from RNAcentral. Lineage: Eukaryota; Viridiplantae; Streptophyta; Magnoliopsida; Poales; Poaceae.
CUGUACAUGAGAGUGUGGACGCCGCAGCAGAGCUUCUCCAACGAGUACAGCAUCCCGACGAACGCCAUACUCUGCGGUAGAGCAGCGGGCCUUGGACACUGAGGAAGACGAGGAAGAAGACGACGAUUCAGCAUUGCAAAACUACUAUAGAAUAAGCCACACUACUACUAUAGGUGAAAGUGAAGAUGAGAAUUCAGGAUUACGAUUUCGGAUAUAUGUGUUGUAGCUAAAACUACUAUUCUUCUGAUCAUGUCAGGUGUUUUUCUCGUGUGUUAUAGCCUGUGGACAAGGCUUCAGGCUUAGGUGCAGAGUGCUCUGUUUCUGAUGCAGCAUUAUCAAUCUGUUGUGUUAUUCAGUGAUGUACCACUCAGUUUUACAACAAUAUCAAUAGCAACCAUUGUGCCGUGCAUAGACUGGAAAAGAAAACUUUGUAGAAUCAGUAAUGUAUUUGUCAAUUCAUCAGAACUUUGGAAGUCUCAAUCGCAUGAAUCAAGCAAGAGCUUGAGCAAAACUCAUCCAGAUUUCUGGUUGAAACGAUAUGAAGAGGGAAGCUGCUAGCUUCUGAAUUCUGAAGUCUCAACUGACGUGAUGGUUCUUCUUGGCUUGUUCUGUCAACCCCUUCUCCAAUGGUAGUGUAGAGAACCAUGUUCAACAGUCAGUUCAUAAAUGAAUGAUUAUCCACAGGUAAAUUACUACUCACUAAUGAUCUUGGUAUAGAACUAACGGAGCAGCAAAAGGAGUUAUAAUCUGUAGAAGUUGAAUUUAAACUUGUAUUUUUUUAAGUAACGUAUCUCAUAUUAGUUUAUCUUUGUCAAUUUUUUAAAAUAUUUUAAUGACUUUUUAGGUGAAAUGCAACAUCCAUUUAUGUGUUAAAAACACUUUCCCCGACAAGGUAAACAUGUAACUUUAAUAUAACACUCAUGGUUCACAUAGCAGAGAACAAAAAAAAAAGACUGAGAUUCAGCAUAAUUAAAAUUCCAUACAUGUUGCGUUAAGCAUGAACUGAACAUAAUUGCAGUAAAAGAUGACGAAGAAUUAAACAUGACACAAUCUAAACCGUUUUGUUAAACACCUUAACGGCAUCAACUGAGACGAGCUACCGAGUAAAAACUUAAAUUGAAGAACAACCAUGAUAUAUAGCUCAAGAUAAAUAUGUAGACAGAUCAAUAAGUGGCUAGAUUAAGCAGAGCUACUUCGGUGACCGCUGACCGUUCACAAUAAAGAGGAUCAUGGCGCCGCUGCGAGCUCGUUGAUCGAGCGACGACACCGUCGCCGCCGAGAUCCACCUCAGACGGAGUCUGCAAGCCCUGGCGCCGCCUCGUCACCGAUCGCGUCCUCCUCCUCCGUCUUCCACCGGACGCCAUUCCUCCACGACGGCGACGGCGACCACGAACUCCUCCCACACAAUCCCGGCCACGCCAUGAUCGCGGCGGACGAGGGUUUUUGAGGCUUGGCAUGGC